GUCUACGGCCAUGCCACCCUGAACAAGCCCUAUCCCAUCUGAUCUCGGAAGCUAAGCAGGGUCAGGCCUGAGACUCUCUUAGACAGAAUCUAGCAGGGCAGGAAGCCCGUGGACA
This 115-nucleotide ribosomal RNA is filed under the name Pteropus alecto (black flying fox). Lineage: Eukaryota; Metazoa; Chordata; Mammalia; Chiroptera; Pteropodidae. The record is from RNAcentral.